Molecule: ribosomal RNA, 446 nt
Filed under: uncultured bacterium
Lineage: Bacteria
Description: partial 16S ribosomal RNA
Rfam family: Bacterial small subunit ribosomal RNA
Source: RNAcentral
CCUACGGGUGGCAGCAGUCGAGAAUCAUUCACAAUGGGGGAAACCCUGAUGGUGCGACGCCGCGUGGGGGAAUGAAGGUCUUCGGAUUGUAAACCCCUGUCAUGUGGGAGCAAAUUAAAAAGAUAGUACCACAAGAGGAAGAGACGGCUAACUCUGUGCCAGCAGCCGCGGUACUACAGAGGUCUCAAGCGUUGUUCGGAAUCACUGGGCGUAAAGGGUUCGUAGGCUGUUUCGUAAGUCGUGUGUGAAAGGCGCGGGCUCAACCCGCGGACGGCACAUGAUACUGCGAGACUAGAGUGAUGGAGGGGGAACCGGAAUUCGCGGUGUAGCAGUGAAAUGCGUAGAUAUCAAGAGGAACACUCGUGGCGAAGGCGGGUUCCUGGACAUUAACUGACGCUGAGGCACGAAGGCCAGGGGAGCGAACGGGAUUAGAUACCCUGGUAGUC